RNAcentral lists this ribosomal RNA (466 nucleotides) under Vreelandella stevensii. RNAcentral's name for it is "partial 16S ribosomal RNA". It matches the Rfam family "Bacterial small subunit ribosomal RNA", at positions 338 to 795 of the family's 1533-position model. The record is from RNAcentral. Lineage: Bacteria; Pseudomonadati; Pseudomonadota; Gammaproteobacteria; Oceanospirillales; Halomonadaceae.
CCUACGGGUGUGCAGCAGUGGGGAAUAUUGGACAAUGGGCGAAAGCCUGAUCCAGCCAUGCCGCGUGUGUGAAGAAGGCCUUCGGGUUGUAAAGCACUUUCAGUGGGGAAGAAAGCCUUGGGGCUAAUACCCUCGAGGAAGGACAUCACCCACAGAAGAAGCACCGGCUAACUCCGUGCCAGUAGCCGCGGUAAUACGGAGGGUGCGAGCGUUAAUCGGAAUUACUGGGCGUAAAGCGCGCGUAGGCGGUCUGAUAAGCCGGUUGUGAAAGCCCCGGGCUCAACCUGGGAACGGCAUCCGGAACUGUCAGGCUAGAGUGCAGGAGAGGAAGGUAGAAUUCCCGGUGUAGCGGUGAAAUGCGUAGAGAUCGGGAGGAAUACCAGUGGCGAAGGCGGCCUUCUGGACUGACACUGACGCUGAGGUGCGAAAGCGUGGGUAGCAAACAGGAUUAGAUACCCGUGUAGUC